This 253-nucleotide ribosomal RNA is filed under the name uncultured bacterium. Its description in RNAcentral is "partial 16S ribosomal RNA". It matches the Rfam family "Bacterial small subunit ribosomal RNA", at positions 524 to 776 of the family's 1533-position model. The record is from RNAcentral.
UACGUAGGGAGCAAGCGUUGUUCGGAUUUACUGGGCGUAAAGGGCGCGUAGGCGGCCUUGUAAGUCCUGUGUGAAAUCCCCCGGCUCAACUGGGGAACUGCACAGGAGACUGCUUGGCUUGAGUUCGGGAGAGGGAAGCGGAAUUCCGGGUGUAGCGGUGAAAUGCGUAGAUAUCCGGAGGAACACCGGUGGCGAAGGCGGCUUCCUGGACCGACACUGACGCUGAGGCGCGAAAGCCAGGGGAGCAAACGGG